RNAcentral lists this ribosomal RNA (208 nucleotides) under uncultured bacterium. RNAcentral's name for it is "partial 16S ribosomal RNA". It matches the Rfam family "Bacterial small subunit ribosomal RNA", at positions 568 to 774 of the family's 1533-position model. The record is from RNAcentral.
CACGUAGGCGGACAUUUAAGUCAGGGGUGAAAUCCCGGGGCUCAACCUCGGAACUGCCUUUGAUACUGGGUGUCUUGAGUAUGGAAGAGGUAAGUGGAAUUGCGAGUGUAGAGGUGAAAUUCGUAGAUAUUCGCAGGAACACCAGUGGCGAAGGCGGCUUACUGGUCCAUUACUGACGCUGAGGUGCGAAAGCGUGGGGAAGCAAACA